Long non-coding RNA from Mauremys mutica (yellowpond turtle), 575 nucleotides. RefSeq lists it as uncharacterized. NCBI's taxonomy places the organism in Eukaryota, Metazoa, Chordata, Testudines, Geoemydidae. The record is from RefSeq and is a predicted model, not a curated record. The transcript has 3 exons.
CAGCACUUAAAAAAUCACCCUGUACACCAAAUAUGUUAGUUCCUGAAAAUCAGGGUACAGCAGCCCAGCUACCAACACAGGUCCCUAACAGCACAUCACCCCAGUGCUCUGCUCAGAACACUGGCUCCCCAAUUAAUCUCAAGACCGCUUCAAAGUUUGGACCCUAAUCUUCAAAGCUCUUCAUGGGAAUGGCUCAAGCUACCAAAGAGACUGCUCCGUCAUUUUGCCCGAUGAGAGGUAUCAGUUAUCACGGCCUCUGGGGCUUACACACAUGGAGUUGUCUUCCUGUCCUCUGCUCCUCAGAUUGUUGCCACAGGACCAAGUUUGCAUAGUGAAAGGAGGAGAGUAAAGCUCAGUGCUGGGCUACAUUCAGGCAGGCAGUCUUGGCCUGGGAACUCAGUGAGGAACAAGGAAGGAGAGGAUGCUGGAGUGGAAGUGAUUUGAAUUAGAACAAACUGGCUGCUGAAUAGAAGCUUUUAUUCCAGCCUGGAGAAGGCUUUGUUAGUCAAGCACAUGUGAUGCACAAAAGCCUCUCCUUGAAUUCAUUGAGUUUUAAUUGGUUCUCAGGUGGGGGA